RNAcentral lists this long non-coding RNA (257 nucleotides) under Lathyrus oleraceus (garden pea). RNAcentral describes it as "Pisum sativum (pea) long non-coding RNA (PSAT_LNC037331)". Lineage: Eukaryota; Viridiplantae; Streptophyta; Magnoliopsida; Fabales; Fabaceae. The record is from RNAcentral.
GAACAUGCAGAUGAAACGAGCCAUGGGCCAGAUGAAAUGAAAAAGUAGGGAAAAUUUUAGUGUAUGACACAUUGAUACCUAACAACAAACAUAAGCAAACAUAAACAUCAUAAUGCUCGUCUUCUUGAGCCUCGGGGUCGAGUUGUUGGUCGUCACAUCCUUUAAGACCUCAGCUUCAAAAGAAGCUUCCUCCAUAUCCACAAGUUGGCCGUCCACCACAGUCUUAAAGAAGUCCAUCUUUGGCACGUCAAGGUCAG